UAUAUUUUUUAGCAAAAUCAGUAAACUGUAUAUUAAUUUACUUAGCAAACUACUUCUAGUAUCAUAUCUUAAUAUAAUUUUUGCCAUGAAAUCAUUAGAAAGAUAUUAAAAAAAAAUCCAAAGUCCAAAAUGUCACGGACCGUGUAGUGUGAGAUUGCCGGAUUUGGAAAUGAAAUAUUUUUUUCUAAAGAAAUGUCAUGUUAGUUUGCGAAAAACUACAGCAAUUAUGCAAGACUAACCUUUGUUCUAUAAAACAGUUUAAAAAAUAUAUUAAUAAUAAUGACUAUUUAUGAUUUUGAACAACAUAAAGUUUGUGACGAGUUUUUGUGUCACGACCAUGUACGAUACUAUAAAAAUGGGGUACUCGGUAGAAAAGCAUCUUUGAUAUUGGCAACUCUUUCUAAGUUCUUUUAGAACGGUAACACUGUCUUCUUAUCAGAUUUGCAAAUGGCUGAAUGUAAGAUGUGUUACGCAAAAUAUUUUUUUUCAUUUAUUUGAAAAAAGGGACAACCUUAACACGUCAUCGCCGAGUACGAGUUUUGAACAUGCCACGAAAGAAGAAUAGCAAUGCCACGACAGAAGCAAGAAAAAAAGGCGUGAAUAUGAAAAGAGGAGACGUGCCAAAAUAAAAGCAGAUCCCGUUAAAUACGAGGAAGCAAAAGAAAAAGAACGAGCAUGGCAUCAGCGAUGAAAGGAGCAAAAGAAAAUAUUAUCAAUAAAAGAUUUAUCACGUCGUGAUCAGAAGGCACAACGAGAAAAAUGGUGUAAACGUACUAGAAAAAGUCGAGCAUUAAAAAAAUGCAGAGAACGCGAGAUGCAACUAAUCAGGGAGAAUACUCCUCCGUCUGAUUCGGAAAUUAAUGAAGCCCUGGCGCCAGAUCCGGACGUCUCUUCACUAGUAAGACUGCGCGAUACUACACCGGAGGUUAGGAGAGAUGAUACACCUACCACAUCACAACGAGGUGAAACUCCAUCCUCCAUCAGUCCUCGAGGCAGCGUAAUGAGUACACAAAGGCGCCAAGCGUUAAAAGAACACAAACAACGCAGGAAACUAACUGAUGUUAUAAUUAUGAAUCAAAAAGCAAAAAUAAAAGUACAGCAGAAAGCAAUAUAUACUCUUCAAGUUAAAAUGAACAGGCUGAUAAAGAAGGUUUCUCAAAUACCGAUAGAAGCCACGAAAAGGCAAAGAGUUUUAAAAGAUAUUUGAUGUAAGACGGAUUAUUCAAUGGUUCUACGUCUGAGGUCGCCAAAUAAUCGAACGUUUGCCUGGCGGUGUGCGACGAAGCAUUGUCGUGGUGAAGAAGGAUCCUAUUUCGAGGUCGUUUCCCACGCACUUUUUCCAAAACACGUGGCAAACAAUUGUUACUGUACCACUCUGCAGUAACUGUUUUUCGAUCCUCUAAAACAAUUGUCGCGUAAUGACCUGUCCUUCCAGCGAACGAGCCCCCAUCUUUUUUCUCACGCUUCGACCUCUCUUCACUUUAGUUGACAACUCCUCGGAAGGAAACACUGAGCUGACUGUCUUUUAUUUUCGGGAUCAUAACAGUAAAUCCAGCUUUCGUCUCCCGUAACUAUGUCAAACACAGAAUUUGAGUCAUCUCCGUUAAAUCUUUCAUGUAUUUCACGGCACCAAUCAACACGACGCAGUUUUAGAGCCUCGGUCAAAUUAUGAGGUAUCCACCGGGCACAAAGCUUCCUGACCGCCAAAUGUUCAUGGAGGAUUUUGUGCACUUGACUUAUACCAAUCCCUAGGUUUGCCCGGAUCUGCUGAUAGAUCACUCUUUUGUCAGUCUCUAUCAUACGCCGCACAACACUGAUGUAAUCUUCAGUCGUCGCCGUAGAAGGCCUUCCCUUCACGCACAUCAUCGGUGAGAUUAAUGCGACCACGUUUAAACUUAUUAAACCAGUUGUAAACGCCACUGUUUAGAGUAUUACUUUUUAUGUAAAUGUACGAUUUUACUUCUUUGGAAAAAAAAAAUCAAUCCUUUAAUUUUGUUGGGUUUAAAUUUUCUUUUCUCAGAUAUUUAAUGAUAUUGUGUUAUUUUUUUUAGAAGUUUUAUUUCCUUUCUAGAUUGAAGUUGUGUUAUAAUAUUUACGAGAGGAUAAAAAUGAGUCCAGCUUUGAUACUCAGUUAUUAUGUUUAAUAUUUACUAAUUAUAGGUACUAUGUGAUAUCAAAACAAUGUUACCUGUGACUAGAUAGUUCUAAGAAUAAAAGGCUGAUUUGUUGUAUUAGUAGGUAGAAUGAUUACCUGAUGGUAUUUUUGCCGGGAUCUUAUUUGUGAUUUAAUUAUUUGAUGUUUAAAAAGAAGUAUACUAAAUAAAUACUGUUGAUUAAACCAA
Molecule: long non-coding RNA, 2342 nt
Organism: Galleria mellonella (greater wax moth)
Lineage: Eukaryota; Metazoa; Arthropoda; Insecta; Lepidoptera; Pyralidae
Exons: 2
Source: RefSeq, a predicted model, not a curated record